UGGGGAAUAUUGCACAAUGGGCGCAAGCCUGAUGCAGCCAUGCCGCGUGUAUGAAGAAGGCCUUCGGGUUGUAAAGUACUUUCAGCGGGGAGGAAGGCGAUAAGGUUAAUAACCUUGUCGAUUGACGUUACCCGCAGAAGAAGCACCGGCUAACUCCGUGCCGGCAGCCGCGGUAAUACGGAGGGUGCAAGCGUUAAUCGGAAUUACUGGGCGUAAAGCGCACGCAGGCGGUCUGUCAAGUCGGAUGUGAAAUCCCCGGGCUCAACCUGGGAACUGCAUUCGAAACUGGCAGGCUAGAGUCUUGUAGAGGGGGGUAGAAUUCCAGGUGUAGCGGUGAAAUGCGUAGAGAUCUGGAGGAAUACCGGUGGCGAAGGCGGCCCCCUGGACAAAGACUGACGCUCAGGUGCGAAAGCGUGGGGAGCAAACA
RNAcentral lists this ribosomal RNA (427 nucleotides) under uncultured bacterium. RNAcentral describes it as "partial 16S ribosomal RNA". It matches the Rfam family "Bacterial small subunit ribosomal RNA", at positions 355 to 774 of the family's 1533-position model. The record is from RNAcentral.